Molecule: non-coding RNA, 118 nt
Organism: Arachis ipaensis
Lineage: Eukaryota; Viridiplantae; Streptophyta; Magnoliopsida; Fabales; Fabaceae
Source: RefSeq, a predicted model, not a curated record
GGCGACGACGGUGGUACCAGGCCGGCGACACUCUUCUUCCCUUCCGCCGGCGCUAUCUCUUCCUCCAGUCUCCUCUCUGCGCGUGUGAUUUUUUUUUAGUUAUAGGAAAGGAAAGGGA